This 449-nucleotide ribosomal RNA is filed under the name uncultured bacterium. Its description in RNAcentral is "partial 16S ribosomal RNA". It matches the Rfam family "Bacterial small subunit ribosomal RNA", at positions 328 to 794 of the family's 1533-position model. The record is from RNAcentral.
UGCCCAGACUCCUACGGGAGGCAGCAGUGGGGAAUAUUGCACAAUGGGGGGAACCCUGAUGCAGCGACGCCGCGUGGGUGAAGGAGCACCUCGGUGCGUAAAGCCCUGUCAGCAGGGAAGAAAAUGACGGUACCUGAAGAAGAAGCCCCGGCUAACUACGUGCCAGCAGCCGCGGUAAUACGUAGGGGGCAAGCGUUAUCCGGAUUUACUGGGUGUAAAGGGGGCGCAGGCGGCGAUGCAAGCCAGGAGUGAAAGCCCGGGGCCCAACCCCGGGACUGCUCUUGGAACUGCGUGGCUAGAGUGCAGGAGGGGCAGGCGGAAUUCCUGGUGUAGCGGUGAAAUGCGUAGAUAUCAGGAGGAACACCGGUGGCGAAGGCGGCCUGCUGGACUGCAACUGACGUUGAGGCCCGAAAGCGUGGGGAGCAAACAGGAUUAGAUACCCUGGUACA